Molecule: long non-coding RNA, 303 nt
Filed under: Elaeis guineensis (African oil palm)
Lineage: Eukaryota; Viridiplantae; Streptophyta; Magnoliopsida; Arecales; Arecaceae
Description: long non-coding RNA (EGUI_LNC050497)
Source: RNAcentral
AGAUGAUUUUUCUUGUAUGCCUGAGGUCCUUUUUAUAGGUGUUUAAGGGGAGAGAAUUUUUUAAUUUACCGAUGUGGGAUUAUAAGAUGAAGCAUGGAGUCGAAGAGGUUGAGUUUCUAUUGAUUUUGGUGUCUUUUGCCUUCUCAAACUCCACUUUCAUGAUCGUGCAUCAAGCACGUGAAGCCAUGCGUCAAACUGCAUCCCAUGAAACCAUGCACCCUACAAACCCUCUUCUUUCUUCUUCAUGCCAGUCCCCCCAACCAGCCUUUCUUCUGCCUCCACAUUCAUGCCAAGCAAUGCCUU